Helianthus annuus (common sunflower) is the source of this 429-nucleotide long non-coding RNA. RefSeq lists it as uncharacterized. The transcript has 3 exons. Lineage: Eukaryota; Viridiplantae; Streptophyta; Magnoliopsida; Asterales; Asteraceae. The record is from RefSeq and is a predicted model, not a curated record.
ACACUUAUGGAAGACAGAAAUCCAAAUGUUUAUGCUCUACGGUUAAAAAGGUUUAGGAGAAGGGUGCGGGUGACAAUGGAAGGUCGGUAUCUAGAAGGCAAUCUGCUCGGUUUAAACAUGAUGAACCGCAGAGGACAUGCUCCAUGCAAACGAGAUUGAUGAUAAAAUGCAAGGGGAUGAUAUUGUCGUUUCUGUUAAAAAGGAAGAUGAUUCGUUACCAAAUAAAGUUAGUCAAGAAGGUUCAUUCUAUUUCAAGCCUGUCUCGUGAAGUAACUAAGAAGGUUCAGUCUUAUAAGGAAAUUGGCGUCAACGUAAAAAUGUGCAGACCUGAGUGAGCGUUUUUUGAACUACUUGGUUUGAAUUCUUUUGUAAAAGAUCCUUUAGUGAAUAUGUAUGAUGUUAUUAGUAGAUAAACUGAUAUAUUAGCUA